Molecule: ribosomal RNA, 457 nt
Filed under: uncultured bacterium
Lineage: Bacteria
Description: partial 16S ribosomal RNA
Rfam family: Bacterial small subunit ribosomal RNA
Source: RNAcentral
GAUGAACGCUGGCGGCGUGCCUAAUACAUGCAAGUCGUACGGAAAGGCCCUUCGGGGUACCCGAGUGGCGGACGGCUGAGUAACGCGUGGGAACGUGCCCCAAAGUGAGGGAUAACGCACCGAAAGGUGUGUUAAUACCGCAUAUGGUCUUCGGAUUAAAGCUUCGGCGCUUUGGGAGCGGCCCGCGUACGAUUAGAUAGUUGGUGAGGUAAUGGCUCACCAAGUCGACGAUCGUUAGCUGGUCUGAGAGGAUGAUCAGCCAGACUGGGACUGAGACACGGCCCAGACUCCUACGGGAGGCAGCAGUAAGGAAUCUUCCACAAUGGGGGCAACCCUGAUGGAGCAACGCCGCGUGCAGGAUGAAGGUUUUCGGAUCGUAAACUGCUUUUAUAAGUGAAGAAUAUGACGGUAACUUAUGAAUAAGGAUCGGCUAACUACGUGCCAGCCGCCGCAGUAA